GUCUAUGGCCAUACCACCCUGAAUGCGCCCAAUCUUGUCUGAUCUCAGAAGCUAAGUAGGAUUGACCCUGGUUAGUACUUGGAUGAGAGAUCCCCCAUUACUUUUUCUGUGGGUUGUUAAUA
Callithrix jacchus (white-tufted-ear marmoset) is the source of this 122-nucleotide non-coding RNA. The record is from Rfam. Lineage: Eukaryota; Metazoa; Chordata; Mammalia; Primates; Cebidae.